CUGACAUGGUUGAUGACAGUACUGCCUGAUUGGCACUCAAGCACAUCCGAGCAUGAUAGUUGCCAGAGCCAUGGAUUGGCUCCUGUGCCGGUGGCAUGUGAAAAGCACAAUUCGAGCGUGAUCGUUGCCAGCAUUGCCUUACCAGCACAUG
Octopus sinensis (East Asian common octopus) is the source of this 151-nucleotide long non-coding RNA. RefSeq lists it as uncharacterized. The record is from RefSeq and is a predicted model, not a curated record. The transcript is spliced from 2 exons. Lineage: Eukaryota; Metazoa; Mollusca; Cephalopoda; Octopoda; Octopodidae.